Molecule: ribosomal RNA, 451 nt
Filed under: Oribacterium sp. oral taxon 372
Lineage: Bacteria; Bacillati; Bacillota; Clostridia; Lachnospirales; Lachnospiraceae
Description: bacterial SSU rRNA
Rfam family: Bacterial small subunit ribosomal RNA
Source: RNAcentral
GAUGAACGCUGGCGGCGUGCCUAACACAUGCAAGUCGAACGGAGUCCAGCCUUAGAGACCUUCGGGUCAAAGAGGGGAAGACUGAGUGGCGAACGGGUGAGUAACACGUGGGCAACCUGGCUCAUAGAGGGGGAUAACAGAGAGAAAUUUCUGCUAAUACCGCAUAAGCACACACUGCCGCAUGGCAGAGUGUGAAAAGAGAAUCGCUAUGAGAUGGACCCGCGUCUGAUUAGCCAGUUGGCAGGGUAAGAGCCUACCAAAGCGACGAUCAGUAGCCGAUCUGAGAGGAUGAACGGCCACAUUGGGACUGAGACACGGCCCAAACUCCUACGGGAGGCAGCAGUGGGGGAUAUUGCACAAUGGGGGGAACCCUGAUGCAGCGACGCCGCGUGAGUGAAGAAGUAUUUCGGUAUGUAAAGCUCUAUCAGCAGGGAAGAUAAUGACAGUACCU